AUACCGUGAUCAACUAGGCGGUUCCCCCAGGGCGAGGCUACUCCAUUGCACUGCGGAGUGGUUGACCCUUGCGAUUACCCCUAAUGCGGGUAACUCGGACGCGUAAUUUUUGGUAGUGGGGA
RNAcentral lists this small nuclear RNA (122 nucleotides) under Bombyx mori (domestic silkworm). RNAcentral's name for it is "partial U1 small nuclear RNA". It matches the Rfam family "U1 spliceosomal RNA", at positions 21 to 143 of the family's 166-position model. From Rfam's summary of the family: U1 is a small nuclear RNA (snRNA) component of the spliceosome (involved in pre-mRNA splicing). Its 5' end forms complementary base pairs with the 5' splice junction, thus defining the 5' donor site of an intron. The record is from RNAcentral. Lineage: Eukaryota; Metazoa; Arthropoda; Insecta; Lepidoptera; Bombycidae.